CUCUUUUUGAUUUUAAUUUAAAGUUUGGCCUGCCCACUGAAAUUUGAAGGGCCGCAGUAUAUUGACUGUGCAAAGGUAGCAUAAUCAUUAGUUUUUUAAUUGAAAGCUUGUAUGAAUGGUUUGAUGAGAAAAUUACUGUUUCAAUUUUAAUUAUAGAAUUUUAUAUUUAAGUUAAAAAGCUUAAAUUUAAUUUAAAGACGAGAAGACCCUAUAGAGUUUUACUAAAAAUUAAGUUAUAAAUUUUAGAAUUUAUUUUUUUAAAUUUAAUUUAAGUUUUGUUGGGGUGACAAAAAAAUUAAAUUAACUUUUUUUUUGUUUGAACAAUAAUGUUUGAAUUUUUGAUCCAUAAGAAUGAUUAUAAGAUUAAAUUACCUUAGGGAUAACAGCGUAAUCUUUUUNAAUAGUUCUUAUUGAAAAAAAGGUUUGCGACCUCGAUGUUGGAUUAAAA
Molecule: ribosomal RNA, 448 nt
Filed under: Henosepilachna vigintioctopunctata
Lineage: Eukaryota; Metazoa; Arthropoda; Insecta; Coleoptera; Coccinellidae
Description: partial 16S ribosomal RNA
Source: RNAcentral